AUAGCAUAUCAGAAGGCACACCCGGAGAACUGAAACAUCUUAGUACCCGGAGGAAGAGAAAGAAAAUUCGAUUCCCUUAGUAGCGGCGAGCGAAAUGGGAAGAGCCCAAACCAACAAGCUUGCUUGUUGGGGUUGUAGGACACUCUAUACGGAGUUACAAAGGACGACAUUAGACGAAUCAUCUGGAAAGAUGAAUCAAAGAAGGUAAUAAUCCUGUAGUCGAAAAUGUUGUCUCUCUUGAGUGGAUCCUGAGUACGACGGAGCACGUGAAAUUCCGUCGGAAUCUGGGAGGACCAUCUCCUAAGGCUAAAUACUCUCUAGUGACCGAUAGUGAACCAGUACCGUGAGGGAAAGGUGAAAAGCACCCCGGAAGGGGAGUGAAAUAGAACCUGAAACCGUGUGCUUACAAGUAGUCAGAGCCCGUUAAUGGGUGAUGGCGUGCCUUUUGUAGAAUGAACCGGCGAGUUACGAUUUGAUGCAAGGUUAAGCAGUAAAUGUGGAGCCGUAGCGAAAGCGAGUCUGAAUAGGGCGUUUAGUAUUUGGUCGUAGACCCGAAACCAGGUGAUCUACCCUUGGUCAGGUUGAAGUUCAGGUAACACUGAAUGGAGGACCGAACCGACUUACGUUGAAAAGUGAGCGGAUGAACUGAGGGUAGCGGAGAAAUUCCAAUCGAACCUGGAGAUAGCUGGUUCUCUCCGAAAUAGCUUUAGGGCUAGCCUCAAGUGAUGAUUAUUGGAGGUAGAGCACUGUUUGGACGAGGGGCCCCUCUCGGGUUACCGAAUUCAGACAAACUCCGAAUGCCAAUUAAUUUAACUUGGGAGUCAGAACAUGGGUGAUAAGGUCCGUGUUCGAAAGGGAAACAGCCCAGACCACCAGCUAAGGUCCCAAAAUAUAUGUUAAGUGGAAAAGGAUGUGGCGUUGCCCAGACAACUAGGAUGUUGGCUUAGAAGCAGCCAUCAUUUAAAGAGUGCGUAAUAGCUCACUAGUCGAGUGACACUGCGCCGAAAAUGUACCGGGGCUAAACAUAUUACCGAAGCUGUGGAUUGUCCUUUGGACAAUGGUAGGAGAGCGUUCUAAGGGCGUUGAAGCAUGAUCGUAAGGACAUGUGGAGCGCUUAGAAGUGAGAAUGCCGGUGUGAGUAGCGAAAGACGGGUGAGAAUCCCGUCCACCGAUUGACUAAGGUUUCCAGAGGAAGGCUCGUCCGCUCUGGGUUAGUCGGGUCCUAAGCUGAGGCCGACAGGCGUAGGCGAUGGAUAACAGGUUGAUAUUCCUGUACCACCUAUAAUCGUUUUAAUCGAUGGGGGGACGCAGUAGGAUAGGCGAAGCGUGCGAUUGGAUUGCACGUCUAAGCAGUAAGGCUGAGUAUUAGGCAAAUCCGGUACUCGUUAAGGCUGAGCUGUGAUGGGGAGAAGACAUUGUGUCUUCGAGUCGUUGAUUUCACACUGCCGAGAAAAGCCUCUAGAUAGAAAAUAGGUGCCCGUACCGCAAACCGACACAGGUAGUCAAGAUGAGAAUUCUAAGGUGAGCGAGCGAACUCUCGUUAAGGAACUCGGCAAAAUGACCCCGUAACUUCGGGAGAAGGGGUGCUCUUUAGGGUUAACGCCCAGAAGAGCCGCAGUGAAUAGGCCCAAGCGACUGUUUAUCAAAAACACAGGUCUCUGCUAAACCGUAAGGUGAUGUAUAGGGGCUGACGCCUGCCCGGUGCUGGAAGGUUAAGAGGAGUGGUUAGCUUCUGCGAAGCUACGAAUCGAAGCCCCAGUAAACGGCGGCCGUAACUAUAACGGUCCUAAGGUAGCGAAAUUCCUUGUCGGGUAAGUUCCGACCCGCACGAAAGGCGUAACGAUUUGGGCACUGUCUCAACGAGAGACUCGGUGAAAUCAUAGUACCUGUGAAGAUGCAGGUUACCCGCGACAGGACGGAAAGACCCCGUGGAGCUUUACUGUAGCCUGAUAUUGAAAUUCGGCACAGCUUGUACAGGAUAGGUAGGAGCCUUUGAAACGUGAGCGCUAGCUUACGUGGAGGCGCUGGUGGGAUACUACCCUAGCUGUGUUGGCUUUCUAACCCGCACCACUUAUCGUGGUGGGAGACAGUGUCAGGCGGGCAGUUUGACUGGGGCGGUCGCCUCCUAAAAGGUAACGGAGGCGCUCAAAGGUUCCCUCAGAAUGGUUGGAAAUCAUUCAUAGAGUGUAAAGGCAUAAGGGAGCUUGACUGCGAGACCUACAAGUCGAGCAGGGUCGAAAGACGGACUUAGUGAUCCGGUGGUUCCGCAUGGAAGGGCCAUCGCUCAACGGAUAAAAGCUACCCCGGGGAUAACAGGCUUAUCUCCCCCAAGAGUUCACAUCGACGGGGAGGUUUGGCACCUCGAUGUCGGCUCAUCGCAUCCUGGGGCUGUAGUCGGUCCCAAGGGUUGGGCUGUUCGCCCAUUAAAGCGGUACGCGAGCUGGGUUCAGAACGUCGUGAGACAGUUCGGUCCCUAUCCGUCGUGGGCGUAGGAAAUUUGAGAGGAGCUGUCCUUAGUACGAGAGGACCGGGAUGGACAUACCUCUGGUGUACCAGUUGUCGUGCCAACGGCAUAGCUGGGUAGCUAUGUGUGGACGGGAUAAGUGCUGAAAGCAUCUAAGCAUGAAGCCCCCCUCAAGAUGAGAUUUCCCAACUUCGGUUAUAAGAUCCCUCAAAGAUGAUGAGGUUAAUAGGUUCGAGGUGGAAGCAUGGUGACAUGUGGAGCUGACGAAUACUAAUCGAUCGAAGACUUAAUCAA
This 2758-nucleotide ribosomal RNA is filed under the name Staphylococcus aureus M0353. RNAcentral's name for it is "bacterial LSU rRNA". It matches the Rfam family "Bacterial large subunit ribosomal RNA". The record is from RNAcentral. Lineage: Bacteria; Bacillati; Bacillota; Bacilli; Caryophanales; Staphylococcaceae.